RNAcentral lists this ribosomal RNA (334 nucleotides) under uncultured bacterium. RNAcentral describes it as "bacterial SSU rRNA". It matches the Rfam family "Bacterial small subunit ribosomal RNA", at positions 568 to 898 of the family's 1533-position model. The record is from RNAcentral.
CGUGUAGGCGGGAUAUUAAGUCAGAUGUGAAAGUCCUAGGCUCAACUUAGGGAGUGCAUCUGAAACUAAUAUUCUUGAGUGGAGGAGAGGAAAGCGGAAUUCCCAGUGUAGCGGUGAAAUGCGUAGAUAUUGGGAGGAACACCAGUGGCGAAGGCGGCUUUCUGGACUUUAACUGACGCUGAGGCGCGAAAGCGUGGGGAGCAAACAGGAUUAGAUACCCUGGUAGUCCACGCCGUAAACGAUGGAUACUAGGUGUAGGAGGUAUCGACCCCUUCUGUGCCGGAGUUAACACAAUAAGUAUCCCACCCUGGGGAGGUACGAUCGCAAGAUUGAA